UAGGCUAUUACAGAUCUCUUUACUUUUUCUGUACUCUGCUGGACUGUCCCCUCCUGUACCCUGUACACUGAAUACUGAACCUGCAAAACUGGGGUUAAGGGAGUGGGAUGAGCUCUAUAGCCCAGUGAGUAGAACAGUAAAACAUCUCAGUAAAAUAUGAUCUCAUGGAAUGCAUCAUAUCACAGACAAGCCACAUCAAGAGUAAACCUGUCACCACAUAGUCCCAGUAACUCUGUGCCAGGGCGUAGAAUCGAGCACCUGGUCUUCCUGUCAUAUAUGUAUAUGUGUAUAUAACACCUGUAACCUUACCAUUGCCAGGGCGUAGUCAAAGGCUCCUGGACUUUGCUAUAUACCUGCCAGGGCGUAGUCAAAGGCUCCUGGUCUUUGCUAUACGUGCCAGGGCAUAGUCAAAGGCUCCUGGUCUUCCUGUCUGUGACUAUUGGAUCAUUCAGCAUUUACUCACAUCAUCAAAUAACAAUGCAAUGCAACAUAUUCGUGAAUACUAAUGUAAACAACCUAUGGCAUAAACAUGAUGCAUGAGAUAUGCUAAAAGCAGUUUGUGAUUCAAUUACAAGUUAUAAGUUUAGUUCCACUCACCUCUGG
Molecule: long non-coding RNA, 603 nt
Filed under: Manihot esculenta (cassava)
Lineage: Eukaryota; Viridiplantae; Streptophyta; Magnoliopsida; Malpighiales; Euphorbiaceae
Description: long non-coding RNA (MESC_LNC009749)
Source: RNAcentral